Molecule: ribosomal RNA, 1420 nt
Filed under: Klebsiella pneumoniae
Lineage: Bacteria; Pseudomonadati; Pseudomonadota; Gammaproteobacteria; Enterobacterales; Enterobacteriaceae
Description: bacterial LSU rRNA
Rfam family: Bacterial large subunit ribosomal RNA
Source: RNAcentral
UUGUCCAGGCAAAUCCGGAUAAUCAAGGCUGAGGUGUGAUGACGAGGCACUACGGUGCUGAAGUAACAAAUGCCCUGCUUCCAGGAAAAGCCUCUAAGCAUCAGGUAACAUCAAAUCGUACCCCAAACCGACACAGGUGGUCAGGUAGAGAAUACCAAGGCGCUUGAGAGAACUCGGGUGAAGGAACUAGGCAAAAUGGUGCCGUAACUUCGGGAGAAGGCACGCUGGUGUGUAGGUGAAGUCCCUGCGGAUGGAGCUGAGACCAGUCGAAGAUACCAGCUGGCUGCAACUGUUUAUUAAAAACACAGCACUGUGCAAACACGAAAGUGGACGUAUACGGUGUGACGCCUGCCCGGUGCCGGAAGGUUAAUUGAUGGGGUUAUCCGUAAGGAGAAGCUCUUGAUCGAAGCCCCGGUAAACGGCGGCCGUAACUAUAACGGUCCUAAGGUAGCGAAAUUCCUUGUCGGGUAAGUUCCGACCUGCACGAAUGGCGUAAUGAUGGCCAGGCUGUCUCCACCCGAGACUCAGUGAAAUUGAACUCGCUGUGAAGAUGCAGUGUACCCGCGGCAAGACGGAAAGACCCCGUGAACCUUUACUAUAGCUUGACACUGAACAUUGAGCCUUGAUGUGUAGGAUAGGUGGGAGGCUUUGAAGCGUGGACGCCAGUCUGCGUGGAGCCAACCUUGAAAUACCACCCUUUAAUGUUUGAUGUUCUAACGUUGGCCCCUUACCGGGGUUGCGGACAGUGUCUGGUGGGUAGUUUGACUGGGGCGGUCUCCUCCCAAAGCGUAACGGAGGAGCACGAAGGUUAGCUAAUCCUGGUCGGACAUCAGGAGGUUAGUGCAAUGGCAUAAGCUAGCUUGACUGCGAGCGUGACGGCGCGAGCAGGUGCGAAAGCAGGUCAUAGUGAUCCGGUGGUUCUGAAUGGAAGGGCCAUCGCUCAACGGAUAAAAGGUACUCCGGGGAUAACAGGCUGAUACCGCCCAAGAGUUCAUAUCGACGGCGGUGUUUGGCACCUCGAUGUCGGCUCAUCACAUCCUGGGGCUGAAGUAGGUCCCAAGGGUAUGGCUGUUCGCCAUUUAAAGUGGUACGCGAGCUGGGUUUAGAACGUCGUGAGACAGUUCGGUCCCUAUCUGCCGUGGGCGCUGGAGAAUUGAGGGGGGCUGCUCCUAGUACGAGAGGACCGGAGUGGACGCAUCACUGGUGUUCGGGUUGUCAUGCCAAUGGCACUGCCCGGUAGCUAAAUGCGGAAGAGAUAAGUGCUGAAAGCAUCUAAGCACGAAACUUGCCCCGAGAUGAGUUCUCCCUGAGACUUUAAGUCUCCUGAAGGAACGUUAAAGACGAUGACGUUGAUAGGCCGGGUGUGUAAGCGCAGCGAUGCGUUGAGCUAACCGGUACUAAUGAACCGUGAGGCUUAACC